GUCGAACGAGAAAGUGGAGCAAUCCAUGAGUACAGUGGCGUACGGGUGAGUAACAUGUGGAUCAUUUGCCUUUUAGUGGGGAAUAACCAUGGGAAACCGUGGCUAAUACCGCAUAAGCUCGAGAGAGGAAAGUCGCAAGACGCUGAAAGAGAAGUCCGCGGCCGAUUAGCUAGUUGGCAGGGUAAAAGCCUACCAAGGCAAAGAUCGGUAGCCGGCCUGAGAGGGCACACGGCCACACUGGCACUGAAACACGGGCCAGACUCCUACGGGAGGCAGCAGUGGGGAAUCUUGCACAAUGGGGGAAACCCUGAUGCAGCGACGCCGCGUGAGCGAUGAAGCCCUUCGGGGUGUAAAGCUCUUUCGGCAGGGAAGAUAGUGACGGUACCUGCAGAAGCAGCUGCGGCUAACUACGUGCCAGCAGCCGCGGUAAUACGUAGGCAGCAAGCGUUGUUCGGAGUUACUGGGCGUAAAGGGUGUGUAGGCGGUUGUUUAAGUUUGGUGUGAAAUCUCCCGGCUCAACUGGGAGGGUGCGCCGAAUACUGAAUGACUUCGAGUGCGGGAGAGGAAAGUGGAAUUCCUGGUGUAGCGGUGAAAUGCGUAGAUAUCAGGAGGAACACCGGUGGUGUAGACGGCUUUCUGGACCGUAACUGACGCUGAGACACGAAAGCGUG
This 671-nucleotide ribosomal RNA is filed under the name uncultured Acidobacteriota bacterium. RNAcentral describes it as "bacterial SSU rRNA". It matches the Rfam family "Bacterial small subunit ribosomal RNA", at positions 61 to 763 of the family's 1533-position model. Lineage: Bacteria; Pseudomonadati; Acidobacteriota. The record is from RNAcentral.